Triticum dicoccoides is the source of this 2098-nucleotide RNA transcript. RefSeq lists it as uncharacterized. The record is from RefSeq and is a predicted model, not a curated record. The transcript has 3 exons. NCBI's taxonomy places the organism in Eukaryota, Viridiplantae, Streptophyta, Magnoliopsida, Poales, Poaceae.
GCUUCGUCCCCAAUCUGUCGAUCCCCUCUCCGCUCGCCUCCUCCUCUCCCGGGUCGCUGCGCCGCCGGCUCAGCCGCUUCUCCUGCGCCUUCUCCUCCUCGCUCCUCUCCUCAUAGAUGAGUCCUCGACCAGGUCGGCGUCCAGCGCAGGAGGAUCUGGAUGGUCGUGGUGGUGGCAUAUUCAGCGGCGUCGCCGGACGAGCUCCAGGCGCGGGGGAGAUAUCUCCACGGGCCCGCGCAACCACGUCCCCUCGCUGACGUCGGCAUGUAGUCCGCCCAUGCCGCCAAGGAGAGGGAGCAGCCGCGCCCGGAGGAGGUCGUCCCCAACGUCUGUAUAAUCCAGUCCGGAUUUGUGGAGAGCCCGGCGCAGCACCGUCUACAGGAGCCCAAGCAGCACCAGGCACAUUUGAGUUUCCUCUCCCAAUGCCAGCAAGUCCAUCAUCUGCUCCUCUUACGUUAACACGCACAGGACUAAACAUACCAUUCCCAUCCUUGGGCAUCUGCAAGGCAGAUACUACCUUCAGUUCCUGAAGCACUUGUCCUAUCAUGCUCCUGCCUGUAGUCACAAGAAUUACUUGUAAGGCAACAGUUUCUGCAAGUAUCAGGAACUAUUGCUUGCACUCUGUGGCACAGGAGCAUCUGCAUUAACAAAUCAACAAAGUUUCAGAGAUGGUCUUACAGGGAAAAAAGCAUUUAUAGGGGAAAAAGCCCAUUUUACAGGGAUAGACUAACCUGAAGCCAAAGACCAUCAUUUAUAGCUUUGCAAGGAAAUUCAAAUUCUUCAAGUUGCUUUCGAACACUUAACAAUGCAUCAAAUGACAUAUUGUAAUAGAGAAGAGAACACCUUUCAAAUAUAUUCAUGGAAGUAUUAUGCUUGAUGGAGCAGGUCAUGAUUGAUUCUGCAGUUGCUGAUUCGUUUUUUUGCUUCCAAUGCUUUGUUACAUUGAUAAGGGCCGGAGCUUCAAUGACGAAUCCACUAUUCGCAGACAGCCCAACUCGACAGGCACGAGCCAUGUCGACAGUCGAGGUGGCACUCGGGGGCAUGCUCGCCUCGGCAGUCAUCAAGGUGGCGAGAUCAAUUCUACCAUUUCAGGCAAGAUCAAGCUGCACAGGAAACUGAGGAACGAUCUGGAGAACAUGAAGAUGAUGCCAGAGUCGGUGGAGGUUGUGCUCGGCAACGUUGAGAGGGAGUCUAUCAAGCAUAAGUCCAUGCUUCUGUGGCUGAAUCGGCUUAAGGAUGCCGCGAACGACAUCUCCGACAUGCUUGAAGAUUUUGAAGAUGAAACCGACUUCAACCUGCUAUGCAAGAUUCUGUCGAUUUGGUCACUAUCAAUCUUGAUCUGAAUGAUGUUGUUUAAUAAUAGAUGAAUAUUUUUAGAUAAUGAACUACAUCUAAAACUUUUUUAUGUAGUGAAGUAGAUCUGAACCUCACUGUUGGAGUUGAUCUUUGAGUCGAUGUUAAGUAAAAGCUACUUCUGCUUGUUGAUGCAAGACCACCUUUAGAUUCGAAAAUGUCCCUGCCUUCUUUUGUUUGACCAAUAGUAAGCUAUGUCCACAAAUACCAUGAUUUUAUUGAGGGGAAAGUGAAGUAGAACUAGUCUGGUAUCCCAAGUGUAAUAUCAGUUUCUGCAUUGUUUUUCUCAACCACCUGAUUGAAACUAGUUUGUAAUGCCAUCUCCGCCCCUUUCAAGCCUUCCAUGGUACUGAUACACCGCAUUGUACCUCUUGCAGUGGGCAGCCACGAUGAAGAAGAUUAAGAUGCCACGUAAGAUGAGAUCGAUGCAAAAGCGCCUACAAAAGAUGGACUGUGAUAGUUAUGGUGUUCAGCCAGAAAUUCACUGCAAGGAGCGGCAAGUUCCUGACAUCCAGGAAACAACAGGAUAUGUGGAGGAGGCAGAAAUCAUCCGCAGGACUGAUAAUGAAAGGAAAAUCUUGGAUUGCAUAUCUGGGAGCAAUAGUUAUUUCCCCCUGCUUUUGAUUACAGUGAUUGGAGUCAGUAGGUAGUGAUUAGAGUCAGUAGGUAAUACAGGACAUGGUAAAUUUCAUUGGAAUAUAACUUGCAAGUUGAUGGGUUCAGAACCUUUGUGCUGUGAAAAAGA